AAUAACAAAACAGUUUUUUUCCAAGCUGUUUUUUCCAAUAGUAUCUAAAAUUAUUCAUUUUCUAAAAAGCGCUUUUUGGCCUUUGAAACUCAAUGCCAAACAAUUUUGAACUUUUUUUUUUGUGCAAAAAAUAUAGGGUAAAUAUAUUUGAUAGGUUUUCUGAUUGUAAAACUGGAUUUUUUUUUUUAGAGGAACGAUUUGUUAUAAUAAAUAUAUCUAAUUUAUGUGUUUGGGUAUGAAAUUGCAGAGUUCCAAUUGCUAUGAAUAUUUCGAGUGAUAUGAUGACCCAAUCAUUAAUUAUAAAUAUAAUUUUUGGACUUUUGAGUAUGAUUAAUAAACAUGAGGUAGAGGUUGCAGGAGAGAAACUAAUAUGAAUUUCAUAUGUGAAAUUUUAGUUUCUUAAAUUUCUUUUUAUUUUACAGCGUGAUACUGUCACAUAUCAAAUUGAUCGGAGAUAUGAUGAGAUUCUAGCAUGAGGAACUUUUAUAUAAUGUUUACUGAGAGAUUUUAUGGUAACAAAAU
RNAcentral lists this unclassified non-coding RNA (522 nucleotides) under Hevea brasiliensis (rubber tree). Lineage: Eukaryota; Viridiplantae; Streptophyta; Magnoliopsida; Malpighiales; Euphorbiaceae. The record is from RNAcentral.